RNAcentral lists this ribosomal RNA (155 nucleotides) under Youngia humifusa. RNAcentral's name for it is "Paraixeris humifusa 5.8S ribosomal RNA". It matches the Rfam family "5.8S ribosomal RNA". From Rfam's summary of the family: 5.8S ribosomal RNA (5.8S rRNA) is a component of the large subunit of the eukaryotic ribosome. It is transcribed by RNA polymerase I as part of the 45S precursor that also contains 18S and 28S rRNA. Functionally, it is thought that 5.8S rRNA may be involved in ribosome translocation. The record is from RNAcentral. Lineage: Eukaryota; Viridiplantae; Streptophyta; Magnoliopsida; Asterales; Asteraceae.
UAACGACUCUCGGCAACGGAUAUCUCGGCUCACGCAUCGAUGAAGAACGUAGCAAAAUGCGAUACUUGGUGUGAAUUGCAGAAUCCCGUGAACCAUCGAGUUUUUGAACGCAAGUUGCGCCCAAAGCCAUCCGGCUGAGGGCACGCCUGCCUGGG